This is a long non-coding RNA of Camponotus floridanus (Florida carpenter ant), 500 nucleotides long. RefSeq lists it as uncharacterized. Lineage: Eukaryota; Metazoa; Arthropoda; Insecta; Hymenoptera; Formicidae. The record is from RefSeq and is a predicted model, not a curated record. The transcript is spliced from 3 exons.
UAUUGUUUAAUUUAUUGCUUGUCAGUCAUUCACAUUUAUUAAAAAUAGUCACUUUAUUAAAUAAUGUGAGAAACUCUAUGUUCUUUGCGAAUAGACCUGAAGAUGAAUUAUGAAAGGGUGUGACAAGUAUCAUACAGGAAGACGCAGAGGUAGAACAAGAAGAGUAGUGAAAAGAGAGACCUAAAUAAGGAACAAAUUAUUGGCAUGGGAAAAAUUCCGAUACAAUUUCCUGGUCUGAACACUUCUGUGUUUAGAGGAAAAGAAUUAAUUCAACAGCUAAAACUGCUUUUAAAUCUUGAAAGAAAGCAAAAACUUAUGGAAUUACCACAAAAUCAGACCAGACCAAUGCAAAUAAAAUUAUCGCCAUUGGAAUGUGGUUGGAGAAGUGUUACAAUGGAUGGCAGAAGCAUUGAAUCAGAUCUUAUUGGAAAAGAUACAUUUGAAAGUUUUGAAACCUGGAUUUUGGAAAACAAAACGAUAACUUGUAUGACCAGUAUGUA